AUACGGAAGGUCCGGGCGUUAUCCGGAUUUAUUGGGUUUAAAGGGAGCGCAGGCGGAGAUGCAAGCGUGACGUCAAAUUUCGGGGCUCAACCCCGUCUCGCGUCGCGAACUGCGUCCCUUGGUUGCGGGAAGGGGAGGCGGAACUCGUGGUGUAGCGGUGAAAUGCAUAGAUAUCACGAAGAACUCCGAUCGCGAAGGCAGCCUUCCGGCCCGUCAACGACGCUCAUGCUCGAAGGUGCGGGUAUCAAACAGGAUUAGAUACCCUGGUAGUCCGCACAGUAAACGAUGGACACCCGCGGUUUGGCCUGUAUGGCUGAGCCGCCAAGCGAAAGCGUUAAGUGUCCCACCUGGGGAGUACGCCGGCAACGGUGAAACUUAAAGGAAUUGACGGGG
RNAcentral lists this ribosomal RNA (393 nucleotides) under uncultured bacterium. Its description in RNAcentral is "partial 16S ribosomal RNA". It matches the Rfam family "Bacterial small subunit ribosomal RNA", at positions 523 to 918 of the family's 1533-position model. The record is from RNAcentral.